UUUGCAUGCCUUUGGCAAGAGAAACAGCAAGAAAGCAAAGUCAAAUUGGCUCCUCCAAAGUCAACCUGUGGAAAUUUCUAAAUAUAGGGCAGGUACUUUUCCUAAAGCCUAUUUAAGAUUAAAUAUACAAAAGUACACAUAUAUGGAUACAUCUUUCCUUAAGCUUGCUCUUUUGGCAAGUUAUGCCUACAACUUUAACAAGAAAUAAUAAAAUAAAGGGAUGAUGUGGAGCCCUGAAUAAAUGAAAUGAAAUGAAAUGGUCAAUUGAGCAAAAUAUCGUCACGCAAAAUGGUCAAUCAAUUGAGAACAGGCAGGAGGAAAGCAAAAUCAUUCGUCUCUACCUAAAUGCAUCAACAUUGUGAUUUGUGAAGCGUAGUAUAGGGUUCUGUGUACAUCAUGCCAUUUGCUUCUAGCAAUUCUAUUUACAAUAUAUUCCCU
This 438-nucleotide long non-coding RNA is filed under the name Setaria viridis. RNAcentral describes it as "long non-coding RNA (SVIR_LNC009922)". The record is from RNAcentral. Lineage: Eukaryota; Viridiplantae; Streptophyta; Magnoliopsida; Poales; Poaceae.